Molecule: ribosomal RNA, 1554 nt
Filed under: Escherichia coli
Lineage: Bacteria; Pseudomonadati; Pseudomonadota; Gammaproteobacteria; Enterobacterales; Enterobacteriaceae
Description: bacterial SSU rRNA
Rfam family: Bacterial small subunit ribosomal RNA
Source: RNAcentral
AAAUUGAAGAGUUUGAUCAUGGCUCAGAUUGAACGCUGGCGGCAGGCCUAACACAUGCAAGUCGAACGGUAACAGGAAACAGCUUGCUGUUUCGCUGACGAGUGGCGGACGGGUGAGUAAUGUCUGGGAAACUGCCUGAUGGAGGGGGAUAACUACUGGAAACGGUAGCUAAUACCGCAUAAUGUCGCAAGACCAAAGAGGGGGACCUUCGGGCCUCUUGCCAUCGGAUGUGCCCAGAUGGGAUUAGCUAGUAGGUGGGGUAAAGGCUCACCUAGGCGACGAUCCCUAGCUGGUCUGAGAGGAUGACCAGCCACACUGGAACUGAGACACGGUCCAGACUCCUACGGGAGGCAGCAGUGGGGAAUAUUGCACAAUGGGCGCAAGCCUGAUGCAGCCAUGCCGCGUGUAUGAAGAAGGCCUUCGGGUUGUAAAGUACUUUCAGCGGGGAGGAAGGGAGUAAAGUUAAUACCUUUGCUCAUUGACGUUACCCGCAGAAGAAGCACCGGCUAACUCCGUGCCAGCAGCCGCGGUAAUACGGAGGGUGCAAGCGUUAAUCGGAAUUACUGGGCGUAAAGCGCACGCAGGCGGUUUGUUAAGUCAGAUGUGAAAUCCCCGGGCUCAACCUGGGAACUGCAUCUGAUACUGGCAAGCUUGAGUCUCGUAGAGGGGGGUAGAAUUCCAGGUGUAGCGGUGAAAUGCGUAGAGAUCUGGAGGAAUACCGGUGGCGAAGGCGGCCCCCUGGACGAAGACUGACGCUCAGGUGCGAAAGCGUGGGGAGCAAACAGGAUUAGAUACCCUGGUAGUCCACGCCGUAAACGAUGUCGACUUGGAGGUUGUGCCCUUGAGGCGUGGCUUCCGGAGCUAACGCGUUAAGUCGACCGCCUGGGGAGUACGGCCGCAAGGUUAAAACUCAAAUGAAUUGACGGGGGCCCGCACAAGCGGUGGAGCAUGUGGUUUAAUUCGAUGCAACGCGAAGAACCUUACCUGGUCUUGACAUCCACAGAACUUUCCAGAGAUGGAUUGGUGCCUUCGGGAACUGUGAGACAGGUGCUGCAUGGCUGUCGUCAGCUCGUGUUGUGAAAUGUUGGGUUAAGUCCCGCAACGAGCGCAACCCUUAUCCUUUGUUGCCAGCGGUCCGGCCGGGAACUCAAAGGAGACUGCCAGUGAUAAACUGGAGGAAGGUGGGGAUGACGUCAAGUCAUCAUGGCCCUUACGACCAGGGCUACACACGUGCUACAAUGGCGCAUACAAAGAGAAGCGACCUCGCGAGAGCAAGCGGACCUCAUAAAGUGCGUCGUAGUCCGGAUUGGAGUCUGCAACUCGACUCCAUGAAGUCGGAAUCGCUAGUAAUCGUGGAUCAGAAUGCCACGGUGAAUACGUUCCCGGGCCUUGUACACACCGCCCGUCACACCAUGGGAGUGGGUUGCAAAAGAAGUAGGUAGCUUAACCUUCGGGAGGGCGCUUACCACUUUGUGAUUCAUGACUGGGGUGAAGUCGUAACAAGGUAACCGUAGGGGAACCUGCGGUUGGAUCACCUCCUUACCUUAAAGAAGC